AUUCCAUGUUGUGGACAUUUCCUCAAAAAUGUCUUGAACUUCUCCCAGGCUUCAUAGAUAGACUCUGAUUCUUUCUGUUUGAACCCUGUAAUCUCAUCCUUCAACUU
Molecule: small nucleolar RNA, 107 nt
Organism: Gastrolobium bilobum
Lineage: Eukaryota; Viridiplantae; Streptophyta; Magnoliopsida; Fabales; Fabaceae
Source: RefSeq, a predicted model, not a curated record